CCCCCCCGCGGCGGCGCUGGCCUCUCUCCCCGUGCUGCGCCGCCGCCGCCUUGUUCCAGAUCUGAAGCUUGGAUUUUGCGCGGCGGCCCAAUGACGCUUCCAUCCCCAAGGGCCCCCGGCCAUAGCGGCCGUGUCCACAUCCACUACCCUCGUCGACCCGGCCUCUUCACCUCGCCAUGGCGCUCCCCCUACCCCUGCGCUCCUGACUGCCCGCCUUCGCGCCCCCUCCCUGCCUGGACUUGCCACCUCGCCGUCACCAGCACAAAUGAGCAGGAGGCAAAUGAGGACUUUGUGGUGGUCACGUACAAGUUGGUGCCCGUCGACGACCCCCACGCACAACUCCACUUCCUGCAGGUUAGGAAGAUUACUCGGGUGCUUUUCAGGCUUCUCCAGCAUUAACCGGGCAUGCUCUCCGAUCAUACAAUGACAAUCUUGACUGUACAACAAUAAUCGGCGGCGCCGGCAGCCGAAUCAGACGAAGUGGCUGGUCCUGCGAGUGGCAGCGGUGGUCGCCUAUGUGGCGCAGGUGGGCAGCGGUGGUCGCCCUCAUGGCAGCAGCGCAGGUGGGCGGUGGCGCUGGGCCCGAGGGUGGAUGCGCUGGUCGCUCCCGUGGGCGGUGGUAGGCAAGGUACGUAGGUGGGCGACGGUGAUCGAGCUGCGCGGGUGGCCGGCGUUGGUCGCCUCCAUGGCGGCGGUGCAGGCGGGCGGCGGCGUUGGACCCCAAUGGUGGCUCGCGCGGGCGGCGGGGUUGUCUAAGUUUUUUUUGUUGUUGCAAAAAUCACCAUGAACUACGUCUGUGACAAGCUUUCCUUUAGUUUUUAUCUCUUGACCCGUACUCUAUCAUCUUUUUAAUUUAUUUAUUUGAACCAGAAACCGAAUCAAUAUUUCUAUCCGUCAUCCUUCAUUA
Molecule: long non-coding RNA, 907 nt
Organism: Aegilops tauschii subsp. strangulata
Lineage: Eukaryota; Viridiplantae; Streptophyta; Magnoliopsida; Poales; Poaceae
Source: RefSeq, a predicted model, not a curated record